MicroRNA precursor from Gadus morhua (Atlantic cod), 59 nucleotides. NCBI's taxonomy places the organism in Eukaryota, Metazoa, Chordata, Actinopteri, Gadiformes, Gadidae. The record is from Ensembl.
GUGCAUUGUAGUUGCAUUGCAUGUGUUUCUGCCGGGUGCAAUGUGUCUGCAGCGCAACA